Molecule: unclassified non-coding RNA, 292 nt
Filed under: fungal sp.
Lineage: Eukaryota; Fungi
Also listed under: 1 other name
Description: partial internal transcribed spacer region
Rfam family: Eukaryotic small subunit ribosomal RNA (bases 1-46)
Source: RNAcentral
AAGUCGUAACAAGGUUUCCGUAGGUGAACCUGCGGAAGGAUCAUUAACAAAUCUGCUAUAUGGCGAGCCCGAAAGGAUCGCACAUAUAUAUUUACCCCGAGCUGGUGUUGCACUUUGUGCAAAGGCCAGCUUUGGUUGGGCAGGCCUACCCUUUACCGGGCAGGACUGUCCCGGACAGUGUUUGGAGGCCGCAAGGUUUUCGGAUGCUGACCACAUUGACGCUUGUAUGUUUGACAGAGUUACAGUUGUAAACUAAAAAAGACAACUUUUAACAAUGGAUCUCUUGGCUCUU